This 460-nucleotide ribosomal RNA is filed under the name uncultured bacterium. RNAcentral's name for it is "partial 16S ribosomal RNA". It matches the Rfam family "Bacterial small subunit ribosomal RNA", at positions 338 to 795 of the family's 1533-position model. The record is from RNAcentral.
CCUACGGGCGACAGCAGUGAGGAAUAUUGGUCAAUGGGCGGGAGCCUGAACCAGCCAAGUCGCGUGAGGGAAGACGGUCCUACGGAUUGUAAACCUCUUUUGCCGGGGAGCAACGGGGUCCUUGCGAGGGCCCGAUGAGAGUACCCGGAGAAAAAGCAUCGGCUAACUCCGUGCCAGCAGCCGCGGUAAUACGGAGGAUGCGAGCGUUAUCCGGAUUUAUGGGGUUUAAAGGGUGCGUAGGCGGGCUGUUAAGUCAGCGGUCAAAUGUCGGGGCUCAACCCCGUCGUGCCGUUGAAACUGGCGUUCUUGAGUGAGCGAGAAGUAUGCGGAAUGCGUGGUGUAGCGGUGAAAUGCAUAGAUAUCACGCAGAACUCCGAUUGCGAAGGCAGCAUACCGGCGCUCAACUGACGCUCAUGCACGAAAGCGUGGGUAUCGAACAGGAUUAGAUACCCUAGUAGUC